Molecule: ribosomal RNA, 405 nt
Filed under: uncultured bacterium
Lineage: Bacteria
Description: bacterial SSU rRNA
Rfam family: Bacterial small subunit ribosomal RNA
Source: RNAcentral
UGGGGAAUUUUCCGCAAUGGGCGAAAGCCUGACGGAGCAAUACCGCGUGAGGGAGGAAGGCUCUUGGGUUGUAAACCUCUUUUCUCAAGGAAGAACACAAUGACGGUACUUGAGGAAUAAGCAUCGGCUAACUCCGUGCCAGCAGCCGCGGUAAUACGGAGGAUGCAAGCGUUAUCCGGAAUGAUUGGGCGUAAAGCGUCCGCAGGUGGUAUUGUAAGUCUGCUGUUAAAGCGUGAGGCUCAACCUCAUAAGGGCGGUGGAAACUACAAAACUAGAGUACGUUCGGGGCAGAGGGAAUUCCUGGUGUAGCGGUGAAAUGCGUAGAUAUCAGGAAGAACACCGGUGGCGAAAGCGCUCUGCUAGGCCGUAACUGACACUGAGGGACGAAAGCUAGGGGAGCGAAAG